AUACGUCUUCGGGGCGGGGUGAAAUUCCCCACCGGCGGUAAAACCGGCAACGGUCAAGCCCGCGAGCGCUUGCUCACGCAAGGUCAGCAGAUCUGGUGCAAUUCCAGGGCCGACGGUCAUAGUCCGGAUGAAAGAAGAUGUGC
RNAcentral lists this non-coding RNA (143 nucleotides) under Massilia sp. Root351. RNAcentral's name for it is "FMN riboswitch aptamer (RFN element)". It matches the Rfam family "FMN riboswitch aptamer (RFN element)". Rfam says of the family: The RFN element is a highly conserved domain that is found frequently in the 5'-untranslated regions of prokaryotic mRNAs that encode for flavin mononucleotide (FMN) biosynthesis and transport proteins. This element is a metabolite-dependent riboswitch that directly binds FMN in the absence of proteins. The record is from Rfam by way of RNAcentral. RNAcentral also lists the same sequence under 1 other name. Lineage: Bacteria; Pseudomonadati; Pseudomonadota; Betaproteobacteria; Burkholderiales; Oxalobacteraceae.